Molecule: unclassified non-coding RNA, 433 nt
Filed under: soil metagenome
Description: partial contains 5.8S ribosomal RNA, internal transcribed spacer 2, and large subunit ribosomal RNA
Rfam family: 5.8S ribosomal RNA (bases 1-120)
Source: RNAcentral
GAUGAAGAACGUAGCGAAAUGCGAUACGUAAUGUGAAUUGCAGAAUUCAGUGAAUCAUCGAAUCUUUGAACGCAUAUUGCGCUCUCUGGUAUUCCGGAGAGCAUGCUUGUUUGAGUAUCAGUAAACACCUCAACUUCCAUAUCUUUUUUUGAAAUGGGAGUUGGACUUGAGUGAUCCCAACGCUUUUCCUCACCGAAAAGUGGCGGGUUACUUGAAAUGCAGGUGCAGCUGGACUUUUCUCUGAGCUAUAAGCAUAUCUAUUUAGUCUGCCUAAAAAACAGAUUAUUACCUUUGCUGCAGCUAACAUAAAGGAGAUUAGUUCUUGUGCUGACUGAUGCAGGAUUCACAAAGACAGCUUCGGCCGACUUUGUAAACUCGAUCUCAAAUCAAGUAAGACUACCCGCUGAACUUAAGCAUAUCAGUAAGCGGAGGA